ACUCAAAUGAAUUGACGGGGACCCGCACAAGCGGUGGAGCAUGUGGUUUAAUUCGAAGCAACGCGAAGAACCUUACCAGGCCUUGACAUACCUUGCAAUACUAUAGAGAUAUAGUGGAGGUUAACAAGGAUACAGGUGGUGCAUGGUUGUCGUCAGUUCGUGUCGUGAGAUGUUUGGUUAAGUCCAGCAACGAACGCAACCCCUGUCCUUAGUUGCCAGCAUUAAGUUGGGGACUCUAGGGAGACUGCUAGUGUAAGCUAGAGGAAGGUGGGGAUGACGUCAAAUCAUCAUGCCCCUUAUGGCCUGGGCUACACACGUGCUACAAUGGCUGAUACAAAGAGUUGCAAAAUCGCAAGGUCGAGCUAAUCUCAAAAAAUCAGUCUCAGUCCGGAUUGAAGUCUGAAACUCGACUUCAUGAAGUCGGAAUCGCUAGUAAUCGCAAAUCAGCAAUGUUGCGGUGAAUACGUUCUCGGGUCUUGCACACACCGCCCGU
This 493-nucleotide ribosomal RNA is filed under the name uncultured bacterium. RNAcentral describes it as "partial 16S ribosomal RNA". It matches the Rfam family "Bacterial small subunit ribosomal RNA", at positions 899 to 1397 of the family's 1533-position model. The record is from RNAcentral.